Molecule: ribosomal RNA, 256 nt
Filed under: uncultured bacterium
Lineage: Bacteria
Description: partial 16S ribosomal RNA
Rfam family: Bacterial small subunit ribosomal RNA
Source: RNAcentral
UACGGGGGGGGGCAAGCGUUGUCCGGAAUUAUUGGGCGUAAAGAGCUCGUAGGCGGUGUGUCGCGUCGGCCGUGAAAACCUGCAGCUUAACUGUGGGCUUGCGGUCGAUACGGGCAUCACUGGAGUUCGGCAGGGGAGUCUGGAAUUCCUGGUGUAGCGGUGAAAUGCGCAGAUAUCAGGAGGAACACCGGUGGCGAAGGCGGGACUCUGGGCCGAUACUGACGCUGAGGAGCGAAAGCGUGGGGGAGCAAACAGG